GCAGAAUAACCCCCUUCAUUGAUACCGAUCGCCCAACAUCACAAGACAUCCCCGUCUCUCAGCGUGGACUCCCCCUAUCUGGAUGGCCCUUCCUACCUUUGAAGGUCUCGGUUUUCACCACCCUAUCCGUCAAACACCGGUCCACCACCAGCAGAGAGAAGGAGUUCCAGAUAGAUCCAGUAUCCAUCUAUGCUGCCAAUGAAUCAGGAGACUCGAGGACUUUGGACUCCAUUCAACCGGACCAGUCCACGAGAUGCUGUGAAAGACAACAAAUCCAAAUUCAGUUGCAUUUUCCCCUGUCUUCAAGCACAGAGGCAGUGACACUGCAGCAUUUCAUGUACUUCUAGAGCAGAUUCCUAUGUUGGCACAUUUCUAACCAAAAUGACUUGCGAGGAGAGAGCUGCUUGAAACUUACUUGAAGUCAAGACUCAGUUUAUUGUAAGCUUCUUUAGACCAUAUCUGUUAUUUAUUUUCAGCCUUCUAGAUCCAAAAUGAAACACUUUCCGGCUAAUAUGUCUUGUUUGAUAUGUGGGGUUUUUUCACUUGCAUAUCUAAUACAACAGUUUAGAUUUUUGCUAUGACACAUAUACAGCCCUGAAUGAGGACAAGUACAUCCACAUCGUCCAAGGACACACUAUUGUGAAACUGUGGAAGCUAGAAGGCAAUGGAUAUAAAAUAAAUAUCAUAGCCAUAAGACUCAUCCCAAGUUGCAAGGGCAGCAGAAGCUGCACAUCCAAAAGCCCUCCCAGGCUGAAAGGCUGCAAACUCUGAGCUAAGUCAGAACUGCUCUUACCCUGCCCAUGCUCACAAAGCUUUCCAACUCCUAGCUUAAACACCUUCCUACAAGAUUACUGUUUUCCAUUUAAGACUCUUUCUUUCUCAAAAGGAAUUGUGGGUUUGGUUUGUGUUUUUUUUCUUGCAGACUACCAAAAAUAAGCAAUUCUAUAUACACCCCCUUUACUUUUUCAUGUCUGGGUAGGCAGCUACAUUUUUUAAGUAGCACCAGAGAUUAUCCAGAUUGCAACUGCAGAAGUAAAACAAGUAAAACAUACUUAUAAAGUGAACUGAAAAGCUGAAAGCAAAUGGCAAAAAUGGGUGCUGAAUGCUCUCAUGCAUCAGCCUGAUGGAAAAUUCAACAAAAGAAAUGAGACUUGUGUCACUGGUAAUGUUAAACUGGAUUUAACAAAAAGAGAAGAACAACGUGUGCUUGGUGUCUUUUUCCAUAACAAGAAGGUUUCAGAGGGGAAGAAAUGCAAUACUUGAGCUGAAUCCUUUAAAGCCAAUUAUCUGCCAUUUAUAGCUGUAUUUUAAGCCACAACAUCAUAAAACUGUAGCUUUUCAUGUCAUGUUUCAGCAACUGCUGUUUAUAAUGUCAUGCAAGACCAAUAACAUAUUUGAUUGUAC
This 1404-nucleotide long non-coding RNA is filed under the name Strigops habroptila (Kakapo). Its description in RNAcentral is "lncRNA (ENSSHBG00005001432.1)". The record is from RNAcentral. Lineage: Eukaryota; Metazoa; Chordata; Aves; Psittaciformes; Psittacidae.